Molecule: ribosomal RNA, 484 nt
Filed under: uncultured bacterium
Lineage: Bacteria
Description: partial 16S ribosomal RNA
Rfam family: Bacterial small subunit ribosomal RNA
Source: RNAcentral
AUUGAACGCUGGCGGCAGGCCUAACACAUGCAAGUCGAGCGGAUGAAGGGAGCUUGCUCCUGGAUUCAGCGGCGGACGGGUGAGUAAUGCCUAGGAAUCUGCCUGGUAGCGGGGGAUAACGUCCGGAAACGGGCGCUAAUACCGCAUACGUCCUGAGGGAGAAAGUGGGUGAUCUUCGGACCUCACGCUAUCAGAUGAGCCUAGGUCGGAUUAGCUAGUUGGUGGGGUAAAGGCCUACCAAGGCGACGAUCCGUAACUGGUCUGAGAGGAUGAUCAGCCACACUGGAACUGAGACACGGUCCAGACUCCUACGGGAGGCAGCAGUGGGGAAUAUUGGACAAUGGGCGAAAGCCUGAUCCAGCCAUGCCGCGUGUGUGAAGAAGGUCUUCGGAUUGUAAAGCACUUUAAGUUGGGAGGAAGGGCAGUAAGUUAAUACCUUGCUGUUUUGACGUUACCAACAGAAUAAGCACCGGCUAACUUCGUG